GGAUCCAGACUUUGAUUCUGGCUCAGGAUGAACGCUAGCUACAGGCUUAACACAUGCAAGUCGAGGGGCAGCAUGUUGGUUGCUUGCAACCGAUGAUGGCGACCGGCGCACGGGUGAGUAACGCGUAUCCAACCUACCCUUGUCCAUCGGAUAACCCGUCGAAAGGCGGCCUAACACGAUAUGCGGUUCACAGCAGGCAUCUAAGGUGAACGAAAUGUGAAGGAGAAGGAUGGGGAUGCGUCUGAUUAGCUUGUUGGCGGGGUAACGGCCCACCAAGGCUACGAUCAGUAGGGGUUCUGAGAGGAAGGUCCCCCACAUUGGAACUGAGACACGGUCCAAACUCCUACGGGAGGCAGCAGUGAGGAAUAUUGGUCAAUGGACGAGAGUCUGAACCAGCCAAGUAGCGUGCAGGAUGGCGGCCCUAUGGGUUGUAAACUGCUUUUAUAGGGGGAUAAGGUGUGCCACGUGUGGCAUAUUGCAGGUACCCUAUGAAUAAGGACCGGCUAAUUCCGUGCCAGCAGCCGCGGUAAUACGGAAGGUCCGGGCGUUAUCCGGAUUUAUUGGGUUUAAAGGGAGCGUAGGCCGUUUGGUAAGCGUGUUGUGAAAUGUCGGGGCUCAACCUGGGCAUUGCAGCGCGAACUGCCAGACUUGAGUGCGCAGGAAGUAGGCGGAAUUCGUCGUGUAGCGGUGAAAUGCUUAGAUAUGACGAAGAACUCCGAUCGCGAAGGCAGCCUGCUGUAGCGCAACUGACGCUGAAGCUCGAAAGCGUGGGUAUCGAACAGGAUUAGAUACCCUGGUAGUCCACGCGGUAAACGAUGGAUGCUCGCUGUUUGCGUCUGACGUAAGCGGCCAAGCGAGAGCGUUAAGCAUCCCACCUGGGGAGUACGCCGGCAACGGUGCAACUCAAAUGA
RNAcentral lists this ribosomal RNA (911 nucleotides) under uncultured Bacteroidota bacterium. RNAcentral describes it as "bacterial SSU rRNA". It matches the Rfam family "Bacterial small subunit ribosomal RNA", at positions 1 to 908 of the family's 1533-position model. The record is from RNAcentral. Lineage: Bacteria; Pseudomonadati; Bacteroidota.